AAAAAACCAUUUUACUGAGGUAUGAUUGAUAUACAACAAAUUGAAGAUAUUUGAGAUACACAGUUUGAUAAGUUUGGACUAUACACAUUCUUCUGGGUUUUUUUUUUUUGGUUUUGGGGGAGGGGUUUUGUGGCCACAGCCACAGCAUAUGGAAGUUCCCAGGCCAGAGACUGAAUCCAAGCCACAGCUGUGACCUAUGCCACAGCCAUGGCAACACCAAAUCCUUAAUCCACUGUGGAUCAAACCGUGCCUCCACAGUGACCUGAGCCACUGCAUUUGGAUCCUUACUGCUUUGCCACAGAGGGAACUCCCCCCACAUUCCUUAUUAACAUGUGGUUCCACUGAUGCUCAGGCCAAGAGGUGGCCAGCGUCCCUGGGUCCCCUGCAGCUGAGAAGUGCAGCCUCGGGGAGCUUUAGCUGAUGAAAAAUCAACAUUGGCUCCUGCCUUCCUGGGGCCUCGUUUUCAUAACCACCUUCUUCAGCUUUUAACCUGAGGGCUGCCAGCAACAGGUGCUAUCCUGCAGUUUUAAGGCUUUUUUUCCUGGACUCUGGAAACCUCGUGCUGAAAGUCUGAUGCUGAUAUGACAGACCCUCCAGCUGUGUAGCUGGCACAUGUGUUUCUGCUGAAGACAACAUGUACUCUGACUGGCUUCUAGAAUCGCCCACAUUCUUGCAGACCCUUGGGAUGUGAGAGCUCAGCCAUGGUCUCCUGCUGACACCCAGGUCCUAGGUGAUAAAAAUUCUUCUACCCACCUUUCUGAUCCAGGGUUCUACUUCUACAAUGCAAUUACUUGUCUUGAAUUUUCACCAACAUUUCAAAGGGGCAAGAGGCAUUCUUCCUUCUUUUCAGCCUGCUGUACACAGGAGGUUUUUCCAGCUGCCAGUUAAAAUGCCGGGGCCCAGCAGGUACCCAGUGGGCACAGUCCCACCCCACUAUUAGGUGCGUUCCUGGGAGAGACCUCGAGUCCACAUGGAAACAGUAGGAUCGGGCUUCCGUGUGUCCAAGGGACUUCCCCAUGAGGCCACCGAGUCCCUGGUGUGCCUAGAAAGUCACCAUUACACAUCACCCCUCACCCUUCCCGAAGGACAGUAAGGAAGCAAGAGCCUGCGAAUGGACAACCCCAUGGAGGAGGGGGCAAGGAAGGCACAGAAGCUCACAGAGAGGACAGGGAGAUGGCCUGAGAGUGAGAGGAUCUGGUACAGUCACCAUGGGGAAGCAGGUGACAGGAGAGGGGUCAGGGAGAAGCCCAAGUGAGGAGCCUCAGGCAACAGAAGGGGGUCCAAACCAAUAACGUCAAAUGGGUUUCCAUUUUUUGCCUAAUACAUUUCAGGAGUCGACUCCAAUGUUUGCUUCCACUUCUUACCCCAAAGGAAGAAGACGGCAGAGGAUAGCGGGUCCAAGGGUUUGGAAUUUAGAAAUGAUCGAUUUCCAAGGUUGGGAAAAAUCCACUAAAAAUGAGCACACGUACACUGUUUUCAUUCCAUUCCUGGCAGAGCCAACAUAUGGCCCAAAGGAGAGCUGAGUAACAGGAGGCAAAGGGAAAUUAGAGAUGAGAUCAUUUAGACAACAUCUUCAUUUUACAAAUGAGAAAACUGAGGCCUGGAGAGGGGCUCGAUGUCACCAUUAAAUAACUGCAGAACCCACGGGACUAGAACUCUGGCCCUUAACUCCCAGUCCAUGCGUCUGCUUCCCUUCUACCCGGCCUGCUAGGCUUCCUUCCACCCCAGCUGCCAUGACUGUAGUGGAGUAAAAGUUUGCCUUGGGGCGCCCUCCUCUGGCUCUGGGCAGCCACUGGCAUAGCUACGAUGUCAGCCUGGUUCUUAAACUGGAGCAGGUAACAGAAUCACCUGCCUACGGUUAAAACGCGGAUUGCUGGGCCCACCCUAGAAGUUUCUGAUUCAGUAGGUGUGGGGUGGGGCCCAGUACUUUGCAAGUCUAACAAGUUCCCAGGUGGUGGUGCCGAUCUGCUGAUUCAAAGACCCACUAUUGAGAAUCUCUGAUGUAGGCAGCGAUCUCAUGGCUCUUCCAGCAAGAUCACCUGGGUUCAAGCCCCAGCUUUGCCAUGCAUGUACUGAAACCCUGAACACAGUGUUGCGUCAUCUCUUGGCAUCUCAGCCUCUCAUCUUAUGAUGGUAACUGUAAUAACCACCCGUAAGGUGAAAAAAAAAUCAGAGUGUGGGCAGUGGUUAACGAAUCCAACAGAACAUGAGCCAUGAUGGGAACUCCACAAACACAUGUCUCUUGUCUGGAGAGACGGCACUGUGGGCCAGGAAAUGUCCAAGGUAACAGAAGUAGUCUCUUACUGUUACUCAAAAAUACCACAGAUCCAGCAGAAAUGGUGUUCAUUCUUACACAAAUAUUGCCCAAGGAAUUAUGAGGGCCUGGCACAGGUUGGCAAAGGUGAAUGACACAGCCCCUGCCCUAGGAGAGCAAUGAGAAGGAAGAUAAACAUGCAAAUCCUAACAAUUCCCCUAUUGAGUGAGGAGCCGGGGAAAGAACCCUUUGCCUGGGGCACAGAGCAAGCAACCCUGUCUAUGGAGUCAAGUAAGCUUUGAAGAGGCAGCCGACUUUUGAGUAGGGUCUUGAAGGAUGAAUAGGAGUUCGUUAAGAAGAGAAGCAGCCAUGGGCCUUCCAGGCAGAGGAAACAGAAUAUGCAAAAUAGCUACAGAGCCGUAAACAUCCAUAAAUGUCCAGGGAAAUGGUAAUAGCGCCACGUAGCUAGAGCUCAGUGGGUCUGGGAAGAAGAGCAGAAGAGGGAUUGACAAGGGAGGCCCAGGCAAGACUCUGCAGAAUCCUGGAUGCCAGGCUGAGUUUGGACCUGAUCAUGUGUCCUUGGAAGACACGUACCUCCUCC
This 2855-nucleotide long non-coding RNA is filed under the name Sus scrofa (pig). RNAcentral's name for it is "lncRNA (ENSSSCG00000056353.1)". The record is from RNAcentral. Lineage: Eukaryota; Metazoa; Chordata; Mammalia; Artiodactyla; Suidae.